UACAGAGGGUGCGAGCGUUAAUCGGAGUUACUGGGCGUAAAGGGCGCGUAGGCGGUGUAGUGUGAGUGAUGUGAAAGCCCCGGGCUUAACCUGGGAAGUGCAUCGCUAACUACUAUACUUGAGUAGGUGAGAGGGUAGCGGAAUUUCCGGUGUAGCGGUGAAAUGCGUAGAGAUCGGAAGGAACGUCAAUGGCGAAGGCAGCUACCUGGCACCAUACUGACGCUGAAGCGCGAGAGCGUGGGGAGCGAACAGG
This 253-nucleotide ribosomal RNA is filed under the name uncultured bacterium. RNAcentral's name for it is "partial 16S ribosomal RNA". It matches the Rfam family "Bacterial small subunit ribosomal RNA", at positions 524 to 776 of the family's 1533-position model. The record is from RNAcentral.